This 276-nucleotide unclassified non-coding RNA is filed under the name Hevea brasiliensis (rubber tree). The record is from RNAcentral. Lineage: Eukaryota; Viridiplantae; Streptophyta; Magnoliopsida; Malpighiales; Euphorbiaceae.
CUUAAAGAAUCAGCAGGCAACAAUAAGAAGACUUGAAGAACGUAAUCGUCAACUAGAGCAACAGAUGGAGGAAAAAGUGAAGGAAAUUGUGGAGAUGAAACAGCGUAGUUUGGCUGAAGAGAACCAGAAAACGCUAGAAGUUUUAAAAGAAAGGGAGCAAUAUUUACAAGAUCAAUUACGACAAGCUAAAGAAAGUGUUGCCAACAUGCAGAAAUUGCAUGAACUUGCACAAAGCCAAUUGUUUGAAGUCCGUGCUCAAUCAGAGGAAGAAGGGGC